This is a small nucleolar RNA of Oncorhynchus kisutch (coho salmon), 129 nucleotides long. Its record names the gene SNORA63. It matches the Rfam family "Small nucleolar RNA SNORA63". From Rfam's summary of the family: E3 belongs to the H/ACA class of snoRNAs and is involved in the processing of eukaryotic pre-rRNA and has regions of complementarity to 18S rRNA. NCBI's taxonomy places the organism in Eukaryota, Metazoa, Chordata, Actinopteri, Salmoniformes, Salmonidae. The record is from Ensembl.
AUGCAGGAUAAGUUACAGUGCAGCUUGUUCAGUUCUGCUCUGUCGUUCCCCCUGCACACAUCAACUAGUUUCCUACUAUCCCUGUCUGUCUUCAUCCCACGGCUGACAGGGACGCUUGGUCUCUAACAU